UUGACCUCAAAUCAGGCGGGACUACCCGCUGAACUUAAGCAUAUCAAUAAGCGGAGGAAAAGAAACUAACAAGGAUUCCCCUAGUAACUGCGAGUGAAGCGGGAAAAGCUCAAAUUUAAAAUCUGGCGGCCACGCCGUCCGAGUUGUAAUUUAGAGAAGCGUCUUCCGCGCCGGACCGUGUACAAGUCUCCUGGAACGGAGCGUCACAGAGGGUGAGAAUCCCGUCUUUGACACGGACGACCGGUGCUUUGUGAUGCGCUCUCGAAGAGUCGAGUUGUUUGGGAAUGCAGCUCAAAAUGGGUGGUGAACUCCAUCUAAAGCUAAAUAUUGGCGAGAGACCGAUAGCGAACAAGUACCGUGAGGGAAAGAUGAAAAGCACUUUGGAAAGAGAGUGAAACAGUACGUGAAAUUGCUGAAAGGGAAACGCUUGAAGUCAGUCGCGUCCGCCGGGAUUCAGCCUUUUGGUGUACUUUCCGGUGGACGGGCCAGCAUCACUUUUGGCCGUCAGAAAAAGGCGGAGGGAACGUGGCACCUUCGGGUGUGUUAUAGCCCUCCGUCAUAUACGGCGACCGGGAGUGAGGACCGCCUUUUGCAGGAUGCUGGCGUAAUGGCUUUAAACGACCCGUCUUGAAACACGGACCAAGGAGUCUAACAUGCUCGCGAGUGUUCGGGUGUCGAAACCCGUGCGCGUAAUGAAAGUGAAAGUUGGGAAGGCUGUCGUGGCCCGCACCGACGCCCGGACCUGAGAUUUAUCGACGGUUCUGCGGUAGAGCGCGUAUGUUGGG
RNAcentral lists this ribosomal RNA (785 nucleotides) under Vararia gracilispora. RNAcentral describes it as "LSU rRNA". It matches the Rfam family "Eukaryotic large subunit ribosomal RNA", at positions 1 to 813 of the family's 3401-position model. The record is from RNAcentral. Lineage: Eukaryota; Fungi; Basidiomycota; Agaricomycetes; Russulales; Lachnocladiaceae.